GAUUAACGCUGGCGGCGUGCCUAACACAUGCAAGUCGAACGAUGAAACUCAUUAGAUUUCUUCGGAAUGAAGAUGAAUGGAUUAGUGGCGAACGGGUGAGUAACGCGUGAGUAACCUGCCUUACACAAGGGGAUAGCCUCUGGAAACGGAGAAUAAUACCCUAUGAAACCAGACAAUCGCAUGAUAAUCUGGUCAAAAUGUUUAGUGGUGUAAGAUGGACUUGCGUCUGAUUAGCUAGUUGGUGAGAUAAAAGCUCACCAAGGCAACGAUCAGUAGCCGGCUUGAGAGAGUGUACGGCAACAUUGGGACUGAGACAAGGCCCAGACUCCGACGGGAGGCAGCAGUGGGGAAUUUUGCACAAUGGGGGAAACCCUGAUGCAGCGACGCCGCGUGAUUGAGAAGGCCUUCGGGUUGUAAAAAUCUUUUGUAUAGGAAGAAAAUGACAGUACUAUACGAAUAAGGUCCGGCUAAGUACGUG
Molecule: ribosomal RNA, 478 nt
Filed under: uncultured bacterium
Lineage: Bacteria
Description: partial 16S ribosomal RNA
Rfam family: Bacterial small subunit ribosomal RNA
Source: RNAcentral